RNAcentral lists this long non-coding RNA (1792 nucleotides) under Capsicum annuum. Its description in RNAcentral is "long non-coding RNA (CANN_LNC002705)". Lineage: Eukaryota; Viridiplantae; Streptophyta; Magnoliopsida; Solanales; Solanaceae. The record is from RNAcentral.
ACUACAAAGAUGGAUAUAAGAAUUGAAUUGGGCCAAACAAAGCUGCUCAUUUCUGGGGCUUACAAUUAUGGACUUCGGGUCCAUUUUCUGAACUGUAUACCAGCUAUAUAUCACAGCUCUUUCCCCUGCGUUUUUUUGGUAUAGACGCUGUAUAUCACCGUACGACAACCGUACAAUUGCUUCCAAUCUUGUUAUGCAUCAUGUUGCACAUAUACCAGCCACUUUCAGAUCAUAAAUACUGUAUAUUUUCUGUAUAUCCGUGUAUAUCAGUAGCUGUUCAUUCAUACUAGUCCUUUUGAAGAAGUAGGAGGCUCGACUCAAUGCUACGGAGGCUUCGCACCAAGGGUAUGCAAGAUGAGGAGUCCAAAUGGACUCAAUCAGGAGAGUUCAUGCACAGAAAACGAGAUAAGGAUGAGCAUCCAAGAAGAAUCUUUAAACAAUAAUCAAGCAAGUAAAAACACUCAAACAAAAUGCUUAAUGCUCAAUUAUGUGAAGCAGAGCAAUCUCAAUACAAAAUGCGAGGCUCGUAAUUAUCACAUUCCGUUAACACCACGCAAUUUCUAUGAUUCAAGCAUUCCGUCCAACAAUUAUACUAUAGUUUACAAGAUUUCCGAGGAAACUUGAAUUAGCUUAUGGAUAUCAAGCUAUGUGCAAACCAGAGAAUGUAUUCAUGAUAGAGAAAAGUACAUAAGAGUUAAAAACUUUGAAUCCCUUAGUCAAAGCCUCGUAUAGCUAUUAUUUAAGCUCCACCUUACAACAAAGAUACUGAUUUUGAAGUAAAUCAAUGACCAAAACAUGCUAUCCUUAGUGAAAUCUUUAGCUUAAUAAUUUGUUCAAACAAUAAAACAUAUACUCAACACACUCAAACAUCAAGAUAAUUCAACACCCAGACUUUACUGUUACUUCCAGAAAACACCAUUCAAACGACCAACAUCCCACGGAGAUCCAACUAUUCUAACAACAACAACACAGUAACAACACUUAACAAAUCGGACCCCAAGAAAAAUACCACGACAAGAAGGAUUAGGAUCCAUUUAAACUUCCACAUAAAUAACAGAUUCAAGAUUUUUCCUUAUUAAUAAAACCUAAUCUAUGGCACAUGGGAGAUGGACAAAAAAGGGGUUACCUUUAUCCGGGCAGCAAAUGGGACGACGAGCCUAAAACGAUGAGGUUUUUCACCACCAGAUUUUAACUCGAUUUCGUCGAAAUUUUGGUUGCGUGAAGUUAGAGACACGCGUCUCCAGAACCCCCAAUUUUUCCCCAAAAAUUCCUCCCCUUGACCCCUAUCCCUCAACCUCUAUUUAUAGGUGAAAAAAGUUGAGGGAUUUUCGGAUUUGAAAACUGAAAUUCAAGUGGUUUCUUCAGAAAUUUUGAAGCCCGUUGUAGGACAAAAAAUAGAGCCGUUGGGCAUUAAUUGCCUACCCGAAAUGGUGAAUUACAGACUGAGAAGGAUGAAAGGUGGACGAAUUUCUAGCCGUUCUUGGCAUUGUUAACCGCUGUCUAACAGUUGUAUCAACAGCUAUUGUUGAAGCUUAUGUUGUACGCUGUUAAGGUUUUGCGUUGAAAUCAUUGCUGUUGUUCGAUGAAAUUGUUGUUGUUGGUUGAACUUGCACGCUGUUAUAGCGUUUGUUGUUGCUCUGGUGGAGUUUUGACUGUGCGUUGUUGUUGAAUUGGGUGAGAAGAGUUAAGGGUAUUGGGUCGGGUCCCUUAUGUGGCGCUGGGCUGGUUGCUGUUGAAGUUGUUAUGGGCUGGGGGUGAGAAAAAUAAGGGGGGUGUGGCCGGAUUUGGGCCA